CGCCUCCCUCCGCUCGCUGGACGCUCCGCCACCCUCCCGCCCGACUGCCCGCCGGCUGCCGCAGGAACCCCUGGAUAAAAUCCAGCUCAACCAUGUCUGAGGAAACAGACCCAGGCUCCCCAGAGCGGUUAACCCGCCUGCCUCUGGGCAGAGACUAUUUGCUUAUUGACAGCUACUGGAACAAAAAGAUGAGAUGAAUAAAGCACACUAAUUAUCCAAAGGGUGUCCUGUGACUAAAAGCAUGUGAGCUGCUCCCCAGGCUGAGCUUUGACCCUCCCAAGCACUUCCCCAAAGGCCAUGACACUGCAUCGGAUUGCUCCUGGACACUUUCCUCCGAGUUUUCAACAAAUAUAAACUCAGGAAUGGAACACAGCACCAGACUUGCUAAUCGAGAGGCAAUGGUCACAGCCCAGAUGGGUGCUGUGCAUGGAUACAGGGCUCAGGAGAUGGGAAGCAGGUACAUGAACAUUGGGAAUUGCAAAAUUGUGCUGGAGCAAUAGACCAACAGCCAUUAAUGUUUGUCGAGGCAAAGAUCCUAAAAUAUACAAGUGUGGAUUUGUCCUGUCGUCAGAACUGAAGCUGUGACAGUCACACUGCCAAGGAUCAAUAUUUCCAGCAAAGGAGUCAACACUCAAGAUACACUGCUACGUCUCGCUUUUUCCUUGACACAACAAUUUAUUUUAUAAAUGCAUCUGCUGGAGAGGAAAAGGCAGCACCAAGGAUUGUGUCUUUUAUCUCCAGGAUAUGCAAAGCGCAUUUAUUUUCAGCUUUUAUCUCUGGAAUUGUAUGUUGAUCCCAUACAUAUAGAUUGAUUUUGUUCAGGUAGAUAAUGAAAAGUCAAGUGGAAAAUUACACAAUGUCACUCACGAUCCUAGUCUUAUAUCGGUAUAUAAAUUGGUUUAUUAUUUCAUUCUAUUAAAGAGGCUUUUUUUCUUUUUUUUUUUUUUAGUACCAGGAAAACUUCAAAAUACAUUGUGUUGUCAGCCUCGCUGAAUUUUCUUUUGGAGGAGGAGAUGGGGCGGAGAAGCUGAAGCCUCGAUUUCUCCUGCUCCUUUUGCUAAUUGUAUUGGUUAAAUGAACUUUCACAGAGGGGGGUCCUGGCUGCUUUUUGCGUCCCCCAGCCCUCUUGUGGGUUGCACACGGGGCUUCCGUAACUCUUUCUGGGUCAAGACAAAGAUAUCCGCCAUGCACAUCCUGUGACAUAGGUAGAUAUUUAUUUCACCCCAGGCAAUUCUAAAUUUUGUCACGAUGACUGAAAGAGGCAACCCCCCUCCUUAGCACUAAGAGGCCAGGGGCGAGAGGGUGGCAGCAUAGAAAAGCCGCGGCCCAGAGACAGCUUGGAGCCACAGUCCUGGAGGAAAUGUUAUUAAUAAACAUCUUUUGGACAUUUGGUAGCCCACGGAGCUUGCUCCAGCUUAAAGCAAUUAAUUCAGGACACUGACAUAAACUCUCCAGAUCUUUGACAGCUUGGAGCCGAAAUAAAAAUGCUAGUUCUCCCGGGAAGAGAAGAGGGUGGCUAGCCCUUUUCUGGACUGUUUGCUUAUCGGCCCAGAGAGCAACCUUCCUUGCAGAAUGAAAUGCAAGGGCACAAACAAUGUACCAGGGAGAGAAUAGAAGAUGGGAAUGAACAGUUUGAACUAUUUGCUCAGCAGAAGGGCACCACAAGGCUGGGCUAGUGGUUUUCCCAUGCGUCCACCGUCCCUUCUUUAGGAUCUUUUGUUGUCCCCUGUCUCCUUUGGCCAGAUAAGAGCACAGCUGCAGCAUUGCAGCUAACAAGUAAGGCUUGUGCUUAUCUUCCUAAAUCUCGGGGUGCCUUUACUGUAACAAGUUAUGCUUGGCUUUCUUUUAUUUUAUAAAAGGAUGGUGAGGGAGGGAAUGAAGGAACAGAUGGGGCAGGCAUAUAGGACAUUGACAUUGCCUGUGUCUGAUUUGUGGUUUCUUCUUUCUUUUCUUUUUUCCCC
Saimiri boliviensis boliviensis (Bolivian squirrel monkey) is the source of this 1961-nucleotide long non-coding RNA. RefSeq lists it as uncharacterized. NCBI's taxonomy places the organism in Eukaryota, Metazoa, Chordata, Mammalia, Primates, Cebidae. The record is from RefSeq and is a predicted model, not a curated record.